RNAcentral lists this ribosomal RNA (460 nucleotides) under uncultured bacterium. RNAcentral describes it as "partial 16S ribosomal RNA". It matches the Rfam family "Bacterial small subunit ribosomal RNA", at positions 338 to 795 of the family's 1533-position model. The record is from RNAcentral.
CCUACGGGUGGCAGCAGUGAGGAAUAUUGGUCAAUGGCCGAAAGCCUGAACCAGCCAAGUCGCGUGCGGGAUGACGGCCCUACGGGUUGUAAACUUCUUUUAUAGGGGAGCAAAGCGCCUUACGUGUCCCGCUUUGCAUGUACCCUGUGAAUAAGCACCGGCUAAUUCCGUGCCAGCAGCCGCGGUAAUACGGAAGGUCCGGGCGUUAUCCGGAUUUAUUGGGUUUAAAGGGUGCGUAGGCCGGCUUUUAAGCGUGCUGUUAAAUGUCCGGGCGCAACCCCGGCCGAGCAGCGCGAACUGGCGGGCUUGAGUGCGCGGGAGGUAGGCGGAAUGCGUAGUGUAGCGGUGAAAUGCUUAGAUAUGGCGAAGAACCCCGAUUGCGAAGGCAGCUUGCUGGAGGGGAACUGACGCUGAGGCACGAAAGCGUGGGUAUCGAACAGGAUUAGAUACCCGUGUAGUC